Non-coding RNA from Caretta caretta (loggerhead turtle), 1769 nucleotides. NCBI's taxonomy places the organism in Eukaryota, Metazoa, Chordata, Testudines, Cheloniidae. The record is from RefSeq and is a predicted model, not a curated record.
GGAGCGCGUGUGCUGUGCCGCUGGACCCGUGGCUCAGAGGCGGCAGCUGCUGCGGGGAGAACUGUAGUGAGCGCACUUCCUGCCCAACUGUUCCUCAUCCCCACUCUCUCCACCCCAUUUCUCACCCCAGGCUAUAGAACGGAGGGCGAGCCACCCAGCCGCUGCUGCUGCUACGGGCAGGAGAGGCCUGGAGCCCUGAAGGCCGGUUUCCCAAUCUUUCCAUUCGUAGCGAAGCCCAUUCCUACACGCCUGUUCCUAGCCUGGGCACGCUGGCUUGUUCGCUGACUGGAGGGGUGCGGGGAUGAGUCAUAGCACAAGUCUCACCACCCACGGUAUCUGGGAGGCCAGCAGUCCAUAGGGUGGGCGACUCUCACGCCUUCUCCCACCCGGCGUCCCAAGUAGCUCUCCUGAAAGGUGGUGAUACAGCGGGCCCGGCUCCACAGAACUCGGAAAGUGAAGCAUGGGCGCUGAUUCAUUAGGGCUCAGGGAGCCUGAGGGCUGGUCGAGAGGAGCUGAAUAAGUGUCUGGGUUACCCAAGACAACAAGGAUACAACCGCAUUUGCUCCCACCCCUCAGACAGAGACAAACACCUACAAGAUCUCUAUCAAGCAUUCUUACAACUACAAUAGCCACAGGCUGAAAUGAAGAAACAGAUUGACAGAGCCAGAAGAGUACCCAGAAGUCACCUACUACAGGACAGGACCAACAAAGACAAUAACAGAAUGCCACUAGCCAUCACCUUUAGCCCCCAGCUAAAACCUCUCCAGCGCAUCAUCAAGGAUCUACAACCUAUCCUGAAGGACGACCCAUCACUCUCACAGAUCUUGGGAGACAGGCCAGUCCUUGCUUACAGACAGCCCCCCAACCUGAAGCAAAUACGCACCAGCAACCACACACCAAGCAACAAAAACACUAACCCAGGAACCUUUCCUUGCAACAAAGCCCGUUGCCAGCUGUGUCCACAUAUCUAUUCAGGGGACACCAUCAUAGGGCCUAAUCACAUCAGCCACACUAUCAGAGGCUCAUUCACCUGCGCAUCUACCAAUGUGAUAUAUGCCAUCAUGUGCCAGCAAUGCCCCUCUGCCAUGUACAUUGGCCAAACUGGACAGUCUCUACGUAAAAGAAUAAAUGGACACAAAUCAGACGUCAAGAAUAAUAACAUUCAAAAACCAGUUGGAGAACACUUCAAUCUCUUUGGUCACUCGAUUUCAGACCUAAAAGUGGCAAUUCUUCAACAAAAAAACUUCAGAAACAGACUCCAACGAGAGACUGCUGAAUUGGAAUUAAUUUGCAAACUGGAUACAAGUAACUUAGGCUUGAAUAGAGACUGGGAGUGGAUGGGUCAUUACACAAAGGAAAACUAUUUCCCCAUGUUCCUCCCCCACCCCACCCCAUGUUCCUCAGACGUUCUUGUCAACUGCUGGAAAUGGCCCACUUUGAUUAUCACUACAAAAGGUUUUUUCUCUCCUGCUGGUAAUAGCUCACCUUAAGUGAUCACUCUCCUUACAGUGUGUAUGGUAACACCCAUUGUUUCAUGUUCUCGGUGUAUAUAAAUCUCCCCACUGAAUGCAUCCGAUGAAGUGAGCUGUAGCUCACGAAAGCUUAUGCUCAAAUAAAUUGGUUAGUCUCUAAGGUGCCACAAAUCCUCCUUUUCUUUUUGAGAAUACAGACUAACACGGCUGCUACUCUGAAAUCUCGUGGUGUUUAUUUUGCAAGACCAGGUUAUUAACCCUGAUGUCCUGGCCAGUUUCCAAUUUAAAUAAUGGUGU